GACGAACGCUGGCGGCGUGCUUAACACAUGCCAGUCGAACGGAAAGGCCCUGCUUGCAGGGUACUCGAGUGGCGAACGGGUGAGUAACACGUGGGUGAUCUGCCCUGCACUUCGGGAUAAGCCUGGGAAGCUGGGUCUAAUACCGGAUAGGAGCCAGUUUUAGUGUGAUGGUUGGAAAGUUUUUUCGGUGUAGGAUGAGCUCGCGGCCUAUCAGCUUGUUGGUGGGGUAAUGGCCUACCAAGGCGGCGACGGGUAGCCGGCCUGAGAGGGUGGACGGCCACAUUGGGACUGAGAUACGGCCCAGACUCCUACGGGAGGCAGCAGUGGGGAAUAUUGCACAAUGGGCGCAAGCCUGAUGCAGCGACGCCGCGUGGGGGAUGACGGCCUUCGGGUUGUAAACUCCUUUCGCUAGGGACGAAGCUUUUUGUGACGGUACCUAGAUAAGAAGCACCGGCUAACUACGUG
This 465-nucleotide ribosomal RNA is filed under the name uncultured bacterium. RNAcentral's name for it is "partial 16S ribosomal RNA". It matches the Rfam family "Bacterial small subunit ribosomal RNA", at positions 28 to 507 of the family's 1533-position model. The record is from RNAcentral.